RNAcentral lists this unclassified non-coding RNA (22 nucleotides) under Mus musculus (house mouse). Its description in RNAcentral is "oocyte_clustered_small_RNA1316". Lineage: Eukaryota; Metazoa; Chordata; Mammalia; Rodentia; Muridae. The record is from RNAcentral.
UACUCUAGGCGGGGUCCCGGAA